Molecule: small nucleolar RNA, 126 nt
Filed under: Sorghum bicolor (sorghum)
Lineage: Eukaryota; Viridiplantae; Streptophyta; Magnoliopsida; Poales; Poaceae
Description: Plant small nucleolar RNA R71
Rfam family: Plant small nucleolar RNA R71
About the family: R71 is a member of the C/D box family of snoRNAs containing the C (UGAUGA) and D (CUGA) box motifs. Multiple nearly identical copies of this snoRNA have been identified in Arabidopsis, and it is thought to function as a 2'-O-ribose methylation guide for 18S ribosomal RNA.
Source: Rfam by way of RNAcentral
AUUCCAUGAUGGGGACAUUCUAGGAUGUAGUCUUGGAAGCGCUCCCAUGCUUCUGGAACGGAUUCAUCAUGUUGUUGUGUAAUACCCAAUUUUAAGAACAAAACCAGAUAUGUACCAUAUGUGAGU